Molecule: long non-coding RNA, 260 nt
Filed under: Gossypium raimondii (Peruvian cotton)
Lineage: Eukaryota; Viridiplantae; Streptophyta; Magnoliopsida; Malvales; Malvaceae
Description: long non-coding RNA (GRAI_LNC011234)
Source: RNAcentral
CAUCUUUUUCUAUUUAGUGAUUUUUACUUAAUUAAUUAUCUGUACACAUAAUAUAAAUCUGUUACAUUCAUUUCAAAAUUGUGAAACCACAAGAUUUGCCACGACCAAAUAUUCAUUUUCCAUUUGUACUUAAUUCCAACAUUUAAUAAUUUACAAGCAAACAAUGAAAUUUUCACAUUAAUUAUAAUUUAACUAACAAUUGAUAUACAUAAUCAUAAGGAAACAAGCAUAUAUAUUAUAUACUACAAACUUACCUCGAC